AUUUAACCCUAAACUUUAUAUGAUUACACAAUUUCCCAUUUCUCAACUAUAAAUACCCCCUCAUUCUUUCAUUUUAAUCCACCAAUUCAUCAAUCUUACUCAAUCACUCUCAAGCUCUCUUUCAAUCUUUCUGUGCAAGUGCUUAAUUUUUGUUGCAAAUUCGUGAAACAUUGUGAAGUUGUUGAAUUGAAGUUUUCAAGUGU
This 203-nucleotide long non-coding RNA is filed under the name Nicotiana benthamiana. Its description in RNAcentral is "long non-coding RNA (NBEN_LNC033494)". The record is from RNAcentral. Lineage: Eukaryota; Viridiplantae; Streptophyta; Magnoliopsida; Solanales; Solanaceae.